This 498-nucleotide ribosomal RNA is filed under the name uncultured bacterium. Its description in RNAcentral is "partial 16S ribosomal RNA". It matches the Rfam family "Bacterial small subunit ribosomal RNA", at positions 30 to 523 of the family's 1533-position model. The record is from RNAcentral.
AUUGAACGCUGGCGGCAUGCCUUACACAUGCAAGUCGAACGGUAACAGGUCUUCGGAUGCUGACGAGUGGCGAACGGGUGAGUAAUACAUCGGAACGUGCCUAGUAGUGGGGGAUAACUACUCGAAAGAGUGGCUAAUACCGCAUGAGAUCUACGGAUGAAAGCAGGGGAUCGCAAGACCUUGUGCUACUAGAGCGGCCGAUGGCAGAUUAGGUAGUUGGUGGGAUAAAAGCUUACCAAGCCGACGAUCUGUAGCUGGUCUGAGAGGACGAUCAGCCAAACUGGGACUGAGACACGGCCCAGACUCCUACGGGAGGCAGCAGUGGGGAAUUUUGGACAAUGGGCGAAAGCCUGAUCCAGCAAUGCCGCGUGCAGGAUGAAGGCCUUCGGGUUGUAAACUGCUUUUGUACGGAACGAAAAGCCCCGGGUUAAUACCCUGGGGUCAUGACGGUACCGUAAGAAUAAGGACCGGCUAACUACGUGCCAGCAGCCGCCGUAA